CAAAUUCUAUUUGUUCUUCGCCG
RNAcentral lists this non-coding RNA (23 nucleotides) under Arabidopsis thaliana (thale cress). The record is from RNAcentral. Lineage: Eukaryota; Viridiplantae; Streptophyta; Magnoliopsida; Brassicales; Brassicaceae.